RNAcentral lists this ribosomal RNA (88 nucleotides) under Paludibacteraceae bacterium. The record is from RNAcentral. Lineage: Bacteria; Pseudomonadati; Bacteroidota; Bacteroidia; Bacteroidales; Paludibacteraceae.
UUCCACCUCUUCCCAUUCCGAACAGAGAAGUUAAGCCCGAACGCGCCGAUGGUACUGCGUAUAGUGGGAGAGUAGGUUGCCGCCACUU